Long non-coding RNA from Musa acuminata subsp. malaccensis (wild Malaysian banana), 453 nucleotides. RefSeq lists it as uncharacterized. Lineage: Eukaryota; Viridiplantae; Streptophyta; Magnoliopsida; Zingiberales; Musaceae. The record is from RefSeq and is a predicted model, not a curated record.
CGCUGGGACUCCGCCGCGGUUGUCAUCGCAUUGCCCUCUCUCCACGCCCUUGGAAAUGGGGCAGAAGGAAUCACUUGAAAUCGUGACCGGCGAAUAUGAUCAGUAUCCUUUCACAGAUCUUUUGGUUGGGAGAGUAACUAGUUGAGAUUAACCUAUGUAUUCUGUUGGGGGAAGGAACGAUCUUGAUGGAGCUUGUUGAUGCAUGAGCGUCUUAUUGGUGUUGCCUUAGGGACCGCCUUCACGGCUUCGGUCCUUUUCCAGAACCGCAGGGCCAUACACUGACAACAGAUUCGUUUAGUAUGAGGACAGAGAUCUAUGACAAUAAGAUGCUAUCUUUUACCCUGCAGCCCAAAGAGCACAUGAUUGCAAAGAAUAGCUCCUAUAAAUUUGCCCGAAUUUGGAACAAAGCUGUAGAUGGGACAUCGGGGCCACUGAUCAUAUAUCCAGCUCAUG